UACGAAGGGGGCUAGCGUUGCUCGGAAUUACUGGGCGUAAAGCGCGCGCAGGUGGUCUGUUAAGUUGGGGGUGAAAGCCCGGAGCUCAACUCCGGAAUUGCCUUCAAAACUGGCAGGCUAGAGUUCGGAAGAGGAGAGUGGAAUUCCCAGUGUAGAGGUGAAAUUCGUAGAUAUUGGGAAGAACACCAGUGGCGAAGGCGGCUCUCUGGUCCGACACUGACACUGAGGAGCGAAAGCGUGGGGAGCAAACAGG
RNAcentral lists this ribosomal RNA (253 nucleotides) under uncultured bacterium. Its description in RNAcentral is "partial 16S ribosomal RNA". It matches the Rfam family "Bacterial small subunit ribosomal RNA", at positions 524 to 776 of the family's 1533-position model. The record is from RNAcentral.